AGUGAACGCUGGCGGUAGGCCUAACACAUGCAAGUCGAACGGCAGCACAGUAAGAGCUUGCUCUUACGGGUGGCGAGUGGCGGACGGGUGAGGAAUACAUCGGAAUCUACUUUUUCGUGGGGGAUAACGUAGGGAAACUUACGCUAAUACCGCAUACGACCUACGGGUGAAAGCAGGGGAUCUUCGGACCUUGCGCGAUUGAAUUAGCCGAUGUCGGAUUAGCUAGUUGGCAGGGUAAAGGCCCACCAAGGCGACGAUCCGUAGCUGGUCUGAGAGGAUGAUCAGCCACACUGGAACUGAGACACGGUCCAGACUCCUACGGGAGGCAGCAGUGGGGAAUAUUGGACAAUGGGCGCAAGCCUGAUCCAGCCAUACCGCGUGGGUGAAGAAGGCCUUCGGGUUGUAAAGCCCUUUUGUUGGGAAAGAAAAGCAGCAGGUUAAUACCCCGCUGUUCUGACGGUACCCAAAGAAUAAGCACCGGCUAACUUCGUG
Molecule: ribosomal RNA, 492 nt
Filed under: uncultured bacterium
Lineage: Bacteria
Description: partial 16S ribosomal RNA
Rfam family: Bacterial small subunit ribosomal RNA
Source: RNAcentral